CCUAGUGGCGAACGGGUGAGUAACACGUGAGGAACCUGCCCCGAAGACCGGGAUAACCCUCCGAAAGGAGAGCUAAUACCGGAUACCCCACCGAACCGCAUGGCUCGGUGAGGAAAUGGAUUCCGCUUCGGGAGGGUCUCGCGGCCUAUCAGCUUGUUGGUGGGGUAACGGCCCACCAAGGCAUCGACGGGUAGCUGGUCUGAGAGGACGAUCAGCCACACUGGGACUGAGACACGGCCCAG
Molecule: ribosomal RNA, 242 nt
Filed under: uncultured bacterium
Lineage: Bacteria
Description: partial 16S ribosomal RNA
Rfam family: Bacterial small subunit ribosomal RNA
Source: RNAcentral